GAUGAACGCUGGCGGCGUGCCUAAUACAUGCAAGUCGAGCGAACGGACGAGAAGCUUGCUUCUCUGAUGUUAGCGGCGGACGGGUGAGUAACACGUGGAUAACCUCCCUAUAUGACUGGGAUAACUUCGGGAAACCGGAGCUAAUACCGGAUAAUCUUUUGAACCGCAUGGUUCAAAAGUGAAAGACGGUCUUUCUGUCACUUAUAGAUGGAUCCGCGCUGCAUUAGCUAGUUGGUACGGUAACGGCUUACCAAGGCAACGAUGCAUAGCCGACCGGAGAGGGUGAUCGGCGACACUGGAACUUAGACACGGUCCAGAGUCCUACGGGAGGCAGCAGUAGGGAAUCUGCCGCAAUGGGCGAAAGCCUGACGGAGCAACGCCGCGUGAGUGAUGAAGGUCUUCGGAUCGGAAAACUCUGUUAUUAGGGAAGAACAUAUGUGUAAGUAACUGUGCACAGCUUGACGGUACCUAAUCAGAAAGCCACGGCUAACUACGUG
RNAcentral lists this ribosomal RNA (497 nucleotides) under uncultured bacterium. RNAcentral's name for it is "partial 16S ribosomal RNA". It matches the Rfam family "Bacterial small subunit ribosomal RNA", at positions 28 to 507 of the family's 1533-position model. The record is from RNAcentral.